This is a long non-coding RNA of Pseudophryne corroboree (corroboree frog), 393 nucleotides long. RefSeq lists it as uncharacterized. The transcript has 3 exons. Lineage: Eukaryota; Metazoa; Chordata; Amphibia; Anura; Myobatrachidae. The record is from RefSeq and is a predicted model, not a curated record.
GGUUUCCUUUCUAAGUGACCCUUCAGUACCUUGGUUUCCGAAUUUUUGUACAAGUUAACUCACCACAAGGCCACACUGAUUGUUCAUCAGAAAGCCUCGGUGUUAUAUUGAAGUUUCCAUCAUGCAUGUACGAACAAGUUUUGUCGCAUUAUACUGUUUGUAUAAACUACUGUACUUCUCAGCUGCUUGAGAGAUGAAGUCUUUUGUAUAAGACGAAACGCGUUGUCUGUGUUGUGAAGCUAUCUCCGAACCAACUAUAAGGAGAAGGAGGAGAUUGUUGUGAUCCUUCAACAUUUGUAUUCAGCGCUAAGAGUCAUACAUCUUAAAGUGUGGAAUAAUAUAUCUCCUCUGUAUUAAUUUGAAUAUGUUUUUAAUAAAUGUUUUAUGAUGGAA